Unclassified non-coding RNA from Vulpes vulpes (red fox), 101 nucleotides. It matches the Rfam family "Y RNA". Rfam says of the family: Y RNAs are components of the Ro ribonucleoprotein particle (Ro RNP), in association with Ro60 and La proteins. The Y RNAs and Ro60 and La proteins are well conserved, but the function of the Ro RNP is not known. The record is from Ensembl. NCBI's taxonomy places the organism in Eukaryota, Metazoa, Chordata, Mammalia, Carnivora, Canidae.
AGCUGGUCGGAGUACAGUGGUGUUUAUAACUAAUUGUCACAACAAGUUACAGGUUUCUUUGUUCCUUCUCCCCUUCCAUUGCCUCACUUGACUAGCCUAAA